GAAAUUGAGAGAAAGAGUUCCUCUAUGAAGGUGUGAAAAAUAAGAAAAAGGAUUCUCUUGUGCAUGGAAGAAAAGAGAAGAAAGAGUUAUCAAGAUUUCUAGCAUAGAGAUCUCAUGCAUGGGUUCUAGGAAGAAAGGAGAGAGUCUUCUUGUUCUUCUUUCCCAUCAUCUUCCUCCUCUUCCUUCUCUACUCCAUCUUCCUUAGAGAG
This 209-nucleotide long non-coding RNA is filed under the name Elaeis guineensis (African oil palm). RNAcentral's name for it is "long non-coding RNA (EGUI_LNC022895)". Lineage: Eukaryota; Viridiplantae; Streptophyta; Magnoliopsida; Arecales; Arecaceae. The record is from RNAcentral.